Molecule: ribosomal RNA, 301 nt
Filed under: uncultured bacterium
Lineage: Bacteria
Description: partial 16S ribosomal RNA
Rfam family: Bacterial small subunit ribosomal RNA
Source: RNAcentral
CAGUAGCCGCGGUAAAACGGAGGGAGCUAGCGUUGUUCGGAAUUACUGGGCGUAAAGCGCGCGUAGGCGGUUACUCAAGUCAGAGGUGAAAGCCCGGGGCUCAACCCCGGAACUGCCUUUGAAACUAGGUGACUAGAAUCUUGGAGAGGUCAGUGGAAUUCCGAGUGUAGAGGUGAAAUUCGUAGAUAUUCGGAAGAACACCAGUGGCGAAGGCGACUGACUGGACAAGUAUUGACGCUGAGGUGCGAAAGCGUGGGGAGCAAACAGGAUUAGAUACCCCCGUAGUCCCUGUCUCUUAUAC